UUUUUAAAAAAAGAGAAAAGAAUCUUAUAGUAUUUCACAGUUAAGAGUAUCUCACCAGUACUGUAGGGGCAUUUUUCUGACAUCUUUGUCAGUACGCAAUAGGGAAUUCAGGAAUGUGGAAAAAAGAAUGGAACUGUUCAAGGCCGGCCUUUAAGGAAUGCGUGCUACCAUUUUUUUCAGUCUUGGAUUCUGUGAAGCACUUUCAGCACGGCUUGACUCUCUCAGCCAAACCCUGUGUGUGUGUUUAUGCAGAAGCAGAUCAUUGUGACUUUACUAAAGUAUACUCCCAUGUAAGUGUGUGCAGGAUUACAGCCUUUAGUUUGCUUCAGGGGACAUUACAGAACUCAUCAGCCUCCUAGCAACAGUAAGCCUCCAUUGGCUCAUUUGGAUUCUCAUUAUGAUUCAUCCGUUGACCCAAACAAGGGAUUUCUUUAUCUCCCAUUCUCUGUUUUCUGGAAGCACGGAGGCAAGAGUGCAUGUACAGUAAUACAUUUUACAGAAUUUGACCAUUGCUGAGCUUCUAACCCUUCCUUUCUAACCUUUUUUUUUAAAAAAAAUCAUCAUCAUCAUCAUCAUGAUAAGUCCAUCUUACCUGCUUUGACUUGCUUCUGGGCUCACAGCAUUCUCAGAUGGGGCUGCAACAAGAAAGAAAGAAAAACUCUGAAGAAAGCAAGAACACGACACCUUCAAGACAUUUGAGACCCCUGGCGUUCCUCCAGCAGUACCUCCAGCUCAACAGCUGUUGAAGAAUGCCCUUGCGUACCUUACACUUCUAUUCUAAUAUACAGCCAUGGUGGGAGGAAAGACAAAUAUUUCGGGGAAAUAAUGGCAUCGUUUCCUACCUGCCAUAGUUCACGUUGGCCAUGUGCUGCACUAAGCAAGAAGUUUUGUCUCAUCCAAGCCACAAACCUAGAACAGAUAAAGAUUUAAUAAUUAACAAGAACUUGAGGAGGAACUUGAGUGUGAGAGGCAGUUAAGAAACGGAGAAACCCAAAACUGGGAUGGGGGGAAAUCCGGUUCUAUUGUAGAGGCUAUGGAAAGACUUCCUGAGAUCAUGAAUACGUACAUGGUUUGCAGAUUGAUCAAAGGCACAUGUUGCAAGAACGGGUCACAUUCUCAGAUGAAUGUCUGUCCCUUUGCAGCUUUGACUUACCCUUCCGAAAGCUUUAGAAACCUGACGUUCUGUAGGAUAAGUGAAGGAAAUAUAUAUGGGCUGACUUUUCAUAACACUGUAGUGGUAUCUACGCAGAGGCUUCUGCCUGUUGGCCAGUGACGAAACUUGACUGCAUUUCACUGCAUAAAUCAUUUGGAAGGUUUCAAUUUUUAUAUGCCCGUUCUCUUUCUGUUUUACAAGAUUCUCUUUCACUAGUCACUCCUCUUUGCAUUGAUUAGCAAGUAAUGUCCUUCCAGAAUUACAGCUAGUGUUACCGAAGCCAAACCAUUUUGUUUCCUGAUUUAUUGAUACAGGUUUGUGAAGCUGCCCUUCUGCUAAAUCAAAGUCGUCUUUCCUACUGUUUGGAAGCUGCUUCUGUUGCACAUUGUUUGUUGUGGUCACUUCUGUUUGUACGCAGAGGAAUGACCCACCUACCCACAAAAGUUAAACUGGAGGAGCAGAAAGCAACUGAGAAUUUCUGGAGAAACAGGAAAUGAUUACUUCAUGUUCUUCCUGGUUUUGAAAAUGGCCUCCCAUUCUUAGUGAUUUCUUUGAAGCAUGUUGAAAAAGAUGAUUUGCAGUGGUUGAAGGCUGUUUACUAUGAAACCUUCUUUGUUCUUUACUCUCACAGUCCUCAUCAUGAGUUGCCCGCCCUAUACCUUGUCAUAACCUUUCUAAGUUUGUUGAUGAAGUCACGUUUUGAAGUAAUGGCAUCAGGGACAUGCAGUAACUGAGGUUGUGACUAGGUGAUCAAAUAUUGCAGGAUUUGCUAUGGUGAUAGCCGGGGUUGAUUUGAAGUUGUUGUUGGUUUUUUCCUGUUCACAUGGUGCAAAGUCUGAUUCAAAUCAGUCCAGCCCUUUUGCUCCCAAUGCAGCUUUUUCUCCUUUGCAGCUGGAAGCUUUUAUAUUUUUUUCAAGUUGGAAUGACUCAAGCAGACUUUUCACCAUGUGAUCUGUUGACUUGUUCUUGUAAAGACUUGGGGGGGCAUGCUUGUGGGUAGUAUUUCAGUGAUGUAGGCAGCUGUGGUGUGAUUUCAGGACCGCAAGAACACCUGCUGCCAUGUUCUUUCCAACAAUCAUCCUCAUAUACAGUAUAUACAUACAUACAGAGAGAGAGAGAAAGAAUAUGCGGUCAUGAAGCGACUCAGACAAAAUAAAAGGUGUUCCCACGGCA
Pogona vitticeps (central bearded dragon) is the source of this 2326-nucleotide long non-coding RNA. The record is from Ensembl. NCBI's taxonomy places the organism in Eukaryota, Metazoa, Chordata, Lepidosauria, Squamata, Agamidae.